GUGGAAUGCGAUGGACAUUAUUACCCAAGUACAUAUAUGAAGAUACAAAGGAUGUGACUCUACUUUGUGUACAACCAGAGAUAUGAAAAAUGGUGCUCUGUAUAUGUAACAUGAAUUGUGAUGCAUUUUGCUGUCUUGUAUAACAAAUCAAAAAUUUUUAAAAAGGGUCAUAUUGCAGACUCUGGUAUGCAAAAAUGUUAAUACCACUUCCCUAAAAUCAAAUUUAUCUAGAAUGACCAUUGAUUCAAGUGAGUAGUAAUUUCAGUCUAAGUUUGCAUUAGGUCGAGGUUCUCUUGAGGCAUGUCCUCAGGAGAAUUCACCUUCAAGAGAAUAAAUCAGUCCAUACCUCAUGCAGGAGGAGAACACGGGCCUACUUCCCUUCUUAGGAAUGGAAAACUCCGGAGCAAAGCCCGAUUCCUAGGAACUGUCCUGUCUCAUCAUCAAUAGUGUUGAUGGAUGCCAAUAAGUAAACCUCAGUGCCAGUCUUGAAGCCAAACCAAUAUUUCUGAGGCCCGAGGCCCACCAUGAAGAGCCUGGGUUAUUAUAUAUACCCCACCCCCUUUAGCAGCUUUCUGUUGAGAUCUUUUAAAUUCUCUUUGAAGGUUUCAGAAUCCAAAUCUUGUUUCUUCCUCAUCUUCAUGGAUUCCCUCACCCAUGGUGGGUUGAAUUUUCUUGGUAUUCUCUCCUGGAAUUGGAACCCUCAAGCAGAAAAAGGGUGGGUGGUAGUGCAUUUUGUAAAUCCAUUCUCAUGCCUUUGGCCUGGAAUCAAAUCUCUAAUUGAAAAAUUAGUCUCUGAGGGGCCCUAAUUACCUCUUCAGAUUGAUGCCUUGUGCAAAAUUUUGUUAUUUCCCAGCCUCCGAAUUCCAACAGGUUCCUUUUUAUCUCCAGUUUGUAGUCAAGGAUGUCUAUCCUUCUGGGCUCUGAGCAACUCUGCAUACAUGGUGAUAUUUUCUGUCUCUCUCUCUCUCUCUUUUUUUCUUUUUGGUACCAGAGAUUGAAUCCAGGGGCACUUAACCUCUGAGCCACUUUCCCAGUCCCUUUUUAAAGAUUUUUUAUUUAGAGACAGUCUCACUGAGUUGCUUAAGGUCUUGCUAAAUUAUUGAGGCGGGCUUUGAACUUGAGAUCUUCCGGCCUCAGCCUCCUGAGCUGCUGGGAUGACAAGCGUGUGCCAGAUAAAUGUUUUCUUAAAAGUGAUAAAAUAUGCAGC
Molecule: long non-coding RNA, 1207 nt
Filed under: Marmota monax (woodchuck)
Lineage: Eukaryota; Metazoa; Chordata; Mammalia; Rodentia; Sciuridae
Source: RNAcentral